Choloepus didactylus (southern two-toed sloth) is the source of this 327-nucleotide long non-coding RNA. RefSeq lists it as uncharacterized. NCBI's taxonomy places the organism in Eukaryota, Metazoa, Chordata, Mammalia, Pilosa, Megalonychidae. The transcript is spliced from 2 exons. The record is from RefSeq and is a predicted model, not a curated record.
CUUGUUUAAAAUGUCCAGGACUGUGGAGGUGCCGGGCCCAGUGGAGACGAGUUUGCAAACCUCUCCCAAAGACUCCCAGGCCUGGCAGCUGCCAUGCUCCAGUGCAGACAGACAAUCGGACAGGGAGCCACCUCUCCAGAAUCUCCAGAUGUCAUCGAACAUAAUCCACUUUUAGAAUCUAGCCGACACCCGUGUGGACUGAAACCGAGAGCCGGAGGAGGCUGUUGGCAGUGAUAGAAGCAGCCGAGCCAGAGAGGACCCGAGGGGGCCAUCAGGACGGUGGGUUUUCAAACUUGUCUUUAGGCAGAGAUGUCAUUAAAAAUGUGA